RNAcentral lists this ribosomal RNA (274 nucleotides) under uncultured bacterium. RNAcentral's name for it is "partial 16S ribosomal RNA". It matches the Rfam family "Bacterial small subunit ribosomal RNA", at positions 523 to 796 of the family's 1533-position model. The record is from RNAcentral.
AUACGGAGGGUGCAAGCGUUAAUCGGAAUUACUGGGCGUAAAGCGUACGUAGGCGGUCCGUUAAGUUAGAUGUGAAAGCCCCGGGCUUAACCUGGGAACUGCAUUUAAAACUGGCGGACUAGAGUUGAGUAGAGGGGAGUGGAAUUUCAGGUGUAGCGGUGAAAUGCGUAGAGAUCUGAAGGAACACCAGUGGCGAAGGCGACUCCCUGGACUCGAACUGACGCUGAGGUACGAAAGCGUGGGUAGCAAACGGGAUUAGAAACCCUAGUAGUCC